RNAcentral lists this ribosomal RNA (460 nucleotides) under uncultured bacterium. Its description in RNAcentral is "partial 16S ribosomal RNA". It matches the Rfam family "Bacterial small subunit ribosomal RNA", at positions 338 to 795 of the family's 1533-position model. The record is from RNAcentral.
CCUACGAGCGGCAGCAGUGAGGAAUAUUGGUCAAUGGACGAGAGUCUGAACCAGCCAAGUAGCGUGAAGGAUGACUGCCCUAUGGGUUGUAAACUUCUUUUAUAUGGGAAUAAAACAGGGUAUGCAUACCCUCUUGUAUGUACCAUAUGAAUAAGGAUCGGCUAACUCCGUGCCAGCAGCCGCGGUAAUACGGAGGAUCCGAGCGUUAGCCGGAUUUAUUGGGUUUAAAGGGAGCAUAGGUGGAUUGUUAAGUCAGUUGUGAAAGUUUGCGGCUCAACCGUAAAAUUGCAGUUGAGACUGGCAGUCGUGAGUACAGUAGAGGUGGGCGGAAUUCGUGGUGUAGCGGUGAAAUGCUUAGAUAUCACGAAGAACACCGAUUGCGAAGGCAGCUCACUGGACUGCAACUGACACUGAGGCUCGAAAGUGUGGGUAUCAAACAGGAUUAGAUACCCCAGUAGUC